CAGCAACUCACAAUGGUCCUCUGAAGAUCUCCCCGGCCCACAAAAUACUUAAAAAGUAACCGGACUCUUUGUUCAGGGCUCAAUCUUUUUGGAUGUUAAUCUGACUGGGCCGGUGCACCUAAAUAAUAAAUAAUAUAUAUCCUCCUCGACCUUUGGUCUCUCUGAUUCCUAAAUUAUCCUGCUGCACCAGGACUUAUAGGAGCAGAAAUCAGAAGACUUUACUCCACACACUUCAGGUGGACAUGUGGACAAAGCCAUCGGAGAACAUGACAAAAAUACAGCAAGAGCAGAGACAAGAUCAGAUCAUCCUGGGGGCAGAUGCUGGGCUCUGACCAAUUUGAGAGAGAAAAGGAAAAAGAACCCAGCUACAAGAUGCACAAGUAGCAGGCCACAGCCACCAACAUCAGCAGAGCAAUUGGAGGCCAGGAAGACAAGGACACUUCUGAAGAGACUGAAAAAAGCAGAAGACAGUCCAAGUCACUGCAAGGUUCCAAGGUCUCUUUUUUCAUUACUGUUACAAGUACCAAGUAAGCCAAAAUCCACCCUACUCUUCAAAACCAUCUUGAAGAGUUGCAGGUCAGGGUUGCUGCAUCUGAGCAUGUUUACUCACAAAAGGUGACAGAUGCUCCUCAACUUACAAUGAGAUUACAUCCUGAUAAAUGUGUCAUAAGUUGAAAGUAUCUUAUAAGUCGAAAAUGCAUUUACUACAGCCUAACCCACUGAACAUUGUAGCUUAGGCUAGCCUACCUUAAAACGUGAUCAGGACACUUCCCUCAGCCUACAUUUGGGCAAAAUCACCUAACACGAAGCCUAUUUUAUAAUAGAGCAUUGAAUAGCUCAAAUAAUUUAUUGAAUACUGUACAUUACAUAGAAUUUGUGACAGUUUUACACCAUCAUUAUGUCAAAAAAUCAUUAAGUUGAGCCACCAUAACUCAGGGACUGUCUGUAUUUAUAUUUUUACUUCACACUAAGCUUUGAAACUGAAAUUUUUGCUCCUCAGCAGAUGGGGUUUCUGAGAAAGACCAAAUUAGUUAUAGAGCACUAGCUCCCAAAAAAAAAAAAAAAAAAAAACAGAAGAAGUCAGAGGAGGAGGGCAACAUGGAGCAGAGGAAGAAGGAGAGAAAAAGCAAGAAACCAUUAUCGCUCCCUCAUCUGAACUGCACUGCGAGUAAGCUGGGGCUUCCACCACAGUGUCCUGGAAGCCAUGUUUGCUGCCCAUUUCUGGACUCUCCAGCCACACUGGCCUCCUUUCCCUUUCUCAAACCUGCUGUGGUUCCUGCCACUUCAAGAUAAUCUCUUAACAAUCUAUUCCUUCUGCCUGGAAUGCUCUUCCUCCCACCCAACCCCGCUCUGCCCAGCUAACUCCAUUCUUUGGCCCCUGCAUCACUUUCCCAAGGAAGCCAUUUCUGGACUUCCCUGACCCCUGCCUUCCAUCUUCACUGGCCCAGAGUUCCCUACCCUAUGGUCUCAUUGCUCCCUCCCAGGCACUGCUGCCUCCCAGGACUCUUCCCUGUCGGUAAUAUAGUUCUGUUUGAUUGUUCAGUUAAUUUUGCCUCCCCUGAAGACCAUAAGCCAUGUUGGCAAUGAUGGUUUUGCUCACCAUUGCACCUCCAGUGUCUAAAAACCAUGGGCAGGUCAAUUCAUUUUUGUUGAGUAAAGGAAUUGUUCAAUAAGUGCACAAAUAAAUUCACAUUAAAACUUGUCCAAAAACAAAGGAGUUUUCUUGUGAGAAGCAGCUGCUCAUUCUGGGGCAUUCAAGUGCAGUGAGAUGACAACGAUGACCAUUGGAGAUGCUUUCAAAGUGAUGCCGGCACUAGACAGAUGGCUGGAGUGUGUACCCUUUAAGGACUCACCUAUCUCAGAAGUCAUGUGUGUUUCUGUAUGUGUAAAUGCACAAACAGACUGGAAGGAUAUGUGUUCAGCGUCUUUUCAGACUGUGAAGGUCCCUGCAACCAGAAGGAGAGCUGUCUUCAGGAAAGGAUGAAGGGAACGAGCAUCUGUCUGUGACUCUGGUGGUUGUGCAGGCAGGUCACCUCAAGGUGGAGUGACACUGUGGUGGGACAGGUGGAGCACCAGUGAGGAAGCUCUCAUGGGCCUGAGCCAACUGAAUUAAUUAAGACCAAGAACAGUAAAGGGACCCAGAGGGCAAACUCUGAGAGGCAGUCAUAAGCAGCACCCUCUCCCCAAACUGUAUUACUCAUUCCCACAGAAGUGUGUGUCUGCUUGCCUUUAAUCUGUUCUGACUGUAAGCCAUUUUGAGACAUCCCAGUCCCAAUGAUGGCCACCAUGUUCUGCAUUGAAUAGAUGCUUGACAUACAUCCAAUUAGUAAAAGCGAGUGAACUAAAGUUUAUCACUUGGGGUUUGUUUUUUCCCCAUCAGUUGCUCCUGCUGCUCAAGGGUGUGUGUGUGUGUACACAUAUGA
Molecule: long non-coding RNA, 2423 nt
Filed under: Homo sapiens (human)
Lineage: Eukaryota; Metazoa; Chordata; Mammalia; Primates; Hominidae
Description: HSALNT0296397
Source: RNAcentral